GCUGAAGUAGAUCAGUUGGAGAGCCUUAAACUGAAGAUCUAAUAGUCCCUGAUUCAUUUCCAGCCUUUGGCA
This 72-nucleotide transfer RNA is filed under the name Pelodiscus sinensis (Chinese soft-shelled turtle). It matches the Rfam family "tRNA". From Rfam's summary of the family: Transfer RNA (tRNA) molecules are approximately 80 nucleotides in length. Their secondary structure includes four short double-helical elements and three loops (D, anti-codon, and T loops). Further hydrogen bonds mediate the characteristic L-shaped molecular structure. tRNAs have two regions of fundamental functional importance: the anti-codon, which is responsible for specific mRNA codon recognition, and the 3' end, to which the tRNAs corresponding amino acid is attached (by aminoacyl-tRNA synthetases). tRNAs cope with the degeneracy of the genetic code in two manners: having more than one tRNA (with a specific anti-codon) for a particular amino acid; and 'wobble' base-pairing, i.e. permitting non-standard base-pairing at the 3rd anti-codon position. The record is from Rfam by way of RNAcentral. Lineage: Eukaryota; Metazoa; Chordata; Testudines; Trionychidae.